CUACGGGUCGCACCAGUGGGGAAUAUUGCACAAUGGGCGCAAGCCUGAUGCAGCCAUGCCGCGUGUAUGAAGAAGGCCUUCGGGUUGUAAAGUACUUUCAGCGGGGAGGAAGGGAGUAAAGUUAAUACCUUUGCUCAUUGACGUUACCCGCAGAAGAAGCACCGGCUAACUCCGUGCCAGCAGCCGCGGAAAUACGGAGGGUGCAAUCGUUAAUCGGAAUUACUGGGCGUAAAGCGCACGCAGGCGGUUUGUUAAGUCAGAUGUGAAAUCCCCGGGCUCAACCUGGGAACGGCAUCUGAUACUGGCAAGCUUGAGUCUCGUAGAGGGGGGUAGAAUUCCAGGUGUAGCGGUGAAAUGCGUAGAGAUCUGGAGGAAUACCGGUGGCGAAGGCGGCCCCCUGGACGAAGACUGACGCUCAGGUGCGAAAGCGUGGGGAGCAAACAGGAUUAGAUACCCGCGUAGUC
Molecule: ribosomal RNA, 464 nt
Filed under: uncultured bacterium
Lineage: Bacteria
Description: partial 16S ribosomal RNA
Rfam family: Bacterial small subunit ribosomal RNA
Source: RNAcentral